This 497-nucleotide ribosomal RNA is filed under the name uncultured bacterium. RNAcentral's name for it is "partial 16S ribosomal RNA". It matches the Rfam family "Bacterial small subunit ribosomal RNA", at positions 28 to 507 of the family's 1533-position model. The record is from RNAcentral.
GAUGAACGCUGGCGGCGUGCCUAAUACAUGCAAGUCGAGCGAACAGACGAGGAGCUUGCUCCUCUGACGUUAGCGGCGGACGGGUGAGUAACACGUGGAUAACCUACCUAUAAGACUGGGAUAACUUCGGGAAACCGGAGCUAAUACCGGAUAAUAUAUUGAACCGCAUGGUUCAAAAGUGAAAGACGGUCUUGCUGUCACUUAUAGAUGGAUCCGCGCCGCAUUAGCUAGUUGGUAAGGUAACGGCUUACCAAGGCAACGAUGCGUAGCCGACCUGAGAGGGUGAUCGGCCACACUGGAACUGAGACACGGUCCAGACUCCUACGGGAGGCAGCAGUAGGGAAUCUUCCGCAAUGGGCGAAAGCCUGACGGAGCAACGCCGCGUGAGUGAUGAAGGUCUUCGGAUCGUAAAACUCUGUUAUUAGGGAAGAACAAAUGUGUAAGUAACUAUGCACGUCUUGACGGUACCUAAUCAGAAAGCCACGGCUAACUACGUG